ACACUUAUUUCUGCAGGAUAUC
Molecule: small nuclear RNA, 22 nt
Filed under: Arabidopsis thaliana (thale cress)
Lineage: Eukaryota; Viridiplantae; Streptophyta; Magnoliopsida; Brassicales; Brassicaceae
Description: snRNA_18596
Source: RNAcentral